GAUGAAGAACGUAGCGAAAUGCGAUAAGUAAUGUGAAUUGCAGAAUUCAGUGAAUCAUCGAAUCUUUGAACGCACAUUGCGCCCCCUGGUAUUCCGGGGGGCAUGCCUGUCCGAGCGUCAUUAUAACCCCUCAAGCUCAGCUUGGUGUUGGGGCCUGCUGCACUGGCAGCCCUUAAAAUCAGUGGCGGCGCCAUCUGGCUCUAAGCGUAGUAAUUCUUCUCGCUAUGGAGUCCUGGUGGAUGCUUGCCAUCAACCCCCAAUUUUUCUAUGGUUGACCUCGGAUCAGGUAGGGAUACCCGCUGAACUUAAGCAUAUCAAUAAGCGGAGGA
RNAcentral lists this unclassified non-coding RNA (329 nucleotides) under soil metagenome. RNAcentral's name for it is "partial contains 5.8S ribosomal RNA, internal transcribed spacer 2, and large subunit ribosomal RNA". The stretch from base 1 to 120 matches the Rfam family "5.8S ribosomal RNA", at positions 35 to 154 of the family's 154-position model. The record is from RNAcentral.